UCGUAUCAGGCCCACACCUUUGUGUACUGCUGUCAUAUUUGAGAGGGAAUCCAGCCAAGAAAGAUAGAUACACUAGGGACUUCUUUACAGAUGGAUAGGUUGUCCAGAAAAAGCGAGAACAUUCAAACAACCAGGAAUUGCAUCAUCGCAAUCACAAACCAUGAUUUUUGAGUCCACACCAGCUUCCGCAAUCUGACAAAGGAGAGAAUUUAUUGGAAGGAUCCAUGGGUAACCGACGACGAGGAAUUACAAGAUGUGAAGGAUUUCCACCAAUUUGAAUUAAACUAAUUUGAAUGAGUUCCUUACAUAUGAAAAAAUUACCAUUUUUUGCCUGUUUCCAAAUAUGUGCAAGAAGUAUACAGGGAUUGAAAGCUGAGAAAGAGACAAAAAUUCCUUUUCAAUGUUACAUAUUAUAUAUAGUUAUGUAUGACAGUGAGUCUAUCAACAGUGCAAUAAUGAUAAACAUGUGAAGUGUUUGCUAAUAAAACAUGAUAAAUUUUCUGAAAGUGUCAUUUAGAUGUGUUUGAUAGAUACCUGUAGUUCUCAUACAGUACAUAUUGAAAAAAGCCUCAUGGGAGGCAAAUUUAAUGAAGAGGAUGUGCAUAGAUACAGUGUAUAUAUGACAUACCAUACAUAUAGAAUAUUUAUUG
Ostrea edulis (European flat oyster) is the source of this 650-nucleotide long non-coding RNA. RefSeq lists it as uncharacterized. Lineage: Eukaryota; Metazoa; Mollusca; Bivalvia; Ostreida; Ostreidae. The record is from RefSeq and is a predicted model, not a curated record. The transcript has 3 exons.